RNAcentral lists this ribosomal RNA (252 nucleotides) under uncultured bacterium. RNAcentral's name for it is "partial 16S ribosomal RNA". It matches the Rfam family "Bacterial small subunit ribosomal RNA", at positions 524 to 776 of the family's 1533-position model. The record is from RNAcentral.
UACGUAGGUGGCAAGCGUUGUCCGGAAUUAUUGGGCGUAAAGCGCGCGCAGGCGGUCCUUUAAGUCUGAUGUGAAAGACCCCGGCUCAACUGGGGAGGGUCGUGCGAUACGGGCGAACUGGAGGCCAGUAGGGGAUGCGGAAUUCCGGGUGUAGUGGUGGAAUGCGUAGAGAUCCGGAGGAACACCAGCGGCGAAGGCGGCAUCCUGGACUGGUCCUGACGCUGAGGCACGAAGGCCAGGGGAGCAAACGGG